GACGAACGCUGGCGGCGUGCUUAACACAUGCAAGUCGAACGGAAAGGCCCUGCUUUUGUGGGGUGCUCGAGUGGCGAACGGGCGAGUAACACGUGAGUAACCUGCCCUUGACUUUGUGAUAACUUCAGGAAACUGGGGCUAAUACCGGAUAGGAGCUCCUGCUGCAUGGUGGGGGUUGGAAAGUUUCGGCGGUUGGGGAUGGACUCGCGGCUUAUCAGCUUGUUGGUGGGGUAGUGGCUUACCAAGGCUUUGACGGGUAGCCGGCCUGGGAGGGUGACCGGCCACAUUGGGACUGAGAUACGGCCCAGACUCCUACGGGAGGCAGCAGUGGGGAAUAUUGCACAAUGGGCGGAAGCCUGAUGCAGCAACGUCGCGUGCGGGAUGACGGCCUUCGGGUUGUAAACCGCUUUCGCCUGUGACGAAGCGUGAGUGACGGUAAUGGGUAAAGAAGCACCGGCUAACUACGUG
This 468-nucleotide ribosomal RNA is filed under the name uncultured bacterium. Its description in RNAcentral is "partial 16S ribosomal RNA". It matches the Rfam family "Bacterial small subunit ribosomal RNA", at positions 28 to 507 of the family's 1533-position model. The record is from RNAcentral.